Long non-coding RNA from Anser cygnoides (Swan goose), 1476 nucleotides. The record is from Ensembl. NCBI's taxonomy places the organism in Eukaryota, Metazoa, Chordata, Aves, Anseriformes, Anatidae.
AUGUGGGACCUUACAGUCUCUGGUGCAAGAGUACAGACCUCUGUAGGAGCUAAGCCAACAAGCCUUUGGCGUACAAAACACUAUUGUGAAACAGUUAAGAUAAACAGUUCUUGUUUCUUGCAGGUUCUGUCAAGUGACAACAUGGGGAGCAAUUUCAGCAUGCAGAUCUGCUGUGGGACUUGUGGGAGAUGUAAGAAGGAAGAGGAAGUAAACGAAGAGACCAGUGAGACCAAGCCGAUUUUGCAGACCUCGAGGGAUCCAUCAAUCUGUAUUGAGAAGCAGCCUUCCACACCAGCCCUGAAAGCCUCUGAACAAGGCUCUGAAGAGGUGCAGUCACUGUGCUGGAACCAACAGCUGUCAGCUGAUGCUGCAGAGCAGAGCACAGAGACCUGUUCUCCUUCAGAUCCCACGGGAGUGACUGAGGAAUGGAAGGCAGCCUGGGGCUCCAUGGAUUUCUUGGUGGCAUCUGCAGAUAGGGAGACUGAAGGAGAGGUUGCGGUCUUAACCCAGCUGCAAAGCCAGCAAGAAAGAGAGAAACCAUGCACCACAGAAGAGAAAAUAAAACCUGUUUCCCAUGCUUCUGAGGCCCAGCUGGUUAUGCAUGCAGCUCAGGCUGUGAGUCCUGUUGCAUUUACAGGACAGCCUGAUGAACAGGCUGGGGCUAGCAGUGAGGACGGCUCAUAUGCUGGAAGAACUCUGCAAGAAACAAAUAUUCUCAACCUCAUGGAAAUCACAGGGGAAUCGGCAGCUGGCCAAGACUGCGAGAUCAGGCCUCCCGCAGAGACUGCUGAGAGUCCUGUAGGAAGGAACUUGCCACUGUAUGCUGUGCAGGAGAUGGCAAAGGAGGCUGAGCCCUGUCCUCCUGCGGAGCACACAGAGGAGAUGGACAGGACUAGUCUUGCUGAAGGAAGCCCUCAAUCCACUGGGAGUGACAAGAUCAUGGUUCUUGUAGAGACAGAACCUCUGAGUGUCCAGGUUACACAGGAGACUAAGAAGACAGAGGAUCCUCCAGAAGAAAUAGUAAGUGGUAUGGCUGAGAGACACUCUACUUCUGCAAUGCUUUGGGAGGCUCUGUAUCCAGGAGGGGAAUAUCCAGAGUCAGCAAACCAGCUGCUUGACCUCUUGAAGGAAGACACCCAGUCAGUUGUGCUAACUGCACAGGAGAUGCAGAGCCUGAGUUCUGCAGAGUCUGAUGAACUGAGUGAAGUCUUCUGCCAGUCAAAUGACAAAGAUCAAAUAUGCCUCAGUGAUCUGGUGGAAGAUGAGGAGAUCAGGGAAUGUGAUCCAGAAACUCUAACAGGUGGAGCAGAGCCCCAGGAGAUGACCACACAACCAACAAUUCUGCUUCCAGAGGAACCCCUGGCUUGCCCCCAGAUGCCUGUAAAGGAAGAAGCUGAGGUUCUGAAUGUGGCACCCCUGCAUUCUGAAGUGUUUGGGAUUGGAGGAGAGAUUCAGGCUGAAGACGCUGAAGCUUGA